CUCAUGGUUUCACGGUAUUGCAAUGAGAACAAUUUAAAACCCUUAGCGAGAAUCAAGUGGAGGACAAGUCUGGUGCCAGCACCCGCGGUAAUUCCAGCUCCGCUAGCGUAUAUUAAGGUUGUUGCAGUUAAAAAGCUCGUAGUUGAACCUCUGUCUGGGGCUAGUUUUGGCUUUGGUCAGGCUAGUUUUAGGCAUCCGCCUACAAGACUUAGAGGGCAUUCAGUUGUUCACUAGGAGGAGUAGGCAUUUUACUUUGAAAAAAUUAGAGUGUUUAAGGCAGGCAAUCGCCCGCAUAUAUUAGCAUGGAAUAAUAGAAUAGGACACUUUUCCAUUUCGUUGGUUAUUGGAAUCGUGUAAUGAUUAAUAGGGACAGUUGUGGGCAUUUGUAUUUAAUUGUCAGAGGUGAAAUUCUUGGAUUUAUUAAAGACAAACUAACGCGAAAGCAUUUGCCAAGGAUGUUUUCAUUAAUCAAGAACGAAAGUUAGGGGAUCAAAGACGAUCAGAUACCGUCCUAGUCUUAACUAUAAACUAUUCCGACUCAAUGUUUGACUGGCUUAUAUAACCAGUUGAGCGUUGUAUGAGAAAUCAAAGUCUUUAGGUUCUGGGGGGAGUAUGGUUGCAAAGCUGAAACUUAAAGGAAUUGACGGAAGAGCACAACCAGGAGUGGAUUCUGCGGCUUAAUUUGACUCAACACGGGGAAACUUACCAGGUUAAAACAAUAGUGGGAUUGACAGUUUGAGAGCGCUUUCUUGAUUGGUUGGGUGGUGGUGCAUGGCCGUUCUUAGUUGGUGGAGUGAUUUGUCUGCUUAAUUGCGUUAACGAACGAGACCUUAACCUGCUUACUAGACUGGCGAUCAUCAAUCGUUAGCUCUUCUUAGAGGGACUUUGGUUGUUUUAACUCCAAGGAAGUUUGAGGCAAUAACAGGUCUGUGAUGCCCUUAAAUAUCCUGGGCCGCACGCGUCACACAAUGACUAGUUCAGAAAGUUUUCACCUGACCCGAAAGGGGAUGGGUAAUCUUGAUAAUACUAGUCGUGUUAGGGAUCGAUCUUUGCAAUUAUAGAUCUUGAACGAGGAAUUCCUAGUAAGUGCGGUUCAUCAGACCGUACUGAUUACGUCCCUGCUCUUUGUACACACCGCCCGUCGCUUCUACCGAGUGGGUGGUCCGGUGAGAUAAUUGAACUUCGCAGGUAACUGAGAGGAAAGAUUAUCAAACCUAUCCACCU
This 1224-nucleotide ribosomal RNA is filed under the name metagenome. Its description in RNAcentral is "SSU rRNA". It matches the Rfam family "Eukaryotic small subunit ribosomal RNA", at positions 493 to 1774 of the family's 1831-position model. The record is from RNAcentral.